This 427-nucleotide ribosomal RNA is filed under the name uncultured Pseudomonas sp. Its description in RNAcentral is "bacterial SSU rRNA". It matches the Rfam family "Bacterial small subunit ribosomal RNA", at positions 355 to 774 of the family's 1533-position model. Lineage: Bacteria; Pseudomonadati; Pseudomonadota; Gammaproteobacteria; Pseudomonadales; Pseudomonadaceae. The record is from RNAcentral.
UGGGGAAUAUUGGACAAUGGGCGAAAGCCUGAUCCAGCCAUGCCGCGUGUGUGAAGAAGGUCUUCGGAUUGUAAAGCACUUUAAGUUGGGAGGAAGGGCAGUUACCUAAUACGUAAUUGUUUUGACGUUACCGACAGAAUAAGCACCGGCUAACUCUGUGCCAGCAGCCGCGGUAAUACAGAGGGUGCAAGCGUUAAUCGGAAUUACUGGGCGUAAAGCGCGCGUAGGUGGUUCGUUAAGUUGGAUGUGAAAGCCCCGGGCUCAACCUGGGAACUGCAUUCAAAACUGUCGAGCUAGAGUACGGUAGAGGGUGGUGGAAUUUCCUGUGUAGCGGUGAAAUGCGUAGAUAUAGGAAGGAACACCAGUGGCGAAGGCGACCACCUGGACUGAUACUGACACUGAGGUGCGAAAGCGUGGGGAGCAAACA